Malaya genurostris is the source of this 996-nucleotide long non-coding RNA. RefSeq lists it as uncharacterized. Lineage: Eukaryota; Metazoa; Arthropoda; Insecta; Diptera; Culicidae. The transcript is spliced from 3 exons. The record is from RefSeq and is a predicted model, not a curated record.
CAGUAAAGAGAUUUUUGUUCAAAAUUCACAUGUUUCUACAGAUUUUUAAGAAUAUUUCGCUAAACUGACUGAAUGUCAUUACAUUUCCACGAAUUAUACAUAUCGAAAUUAUUGCAUCAUUGAUCUUGAAACACAGAUUGUAAUUUGGCCGCUCUGAAAACAAUCUCCACAUUAGUGAAAAGUAAUCACAGUUCGAAUUGAGGUGUUGAGGUGAAUUGCGUUAAAUAAUAAUUGCCGAUUGUGAAUAAAAUUCGGAACUUAUGUUUGAUGUAUUAAUUUCUUUAAAUCUAGGUAACAGAAUUUCACUGCGAACAACGUGGAUGCCAAAGUGGUAAGCUUAAUUGAAUAAAAGUGAGUAAUAUAACCGGAUAAAACGAACACUCAUUAGCCAUAAUCUGCGCAGUUUUCAAGUUUUCAAUAUCCGAAGCUUAAGAAGUGUGAUUUGCUUAAAUUGAGGGUAACCUAAACUUAUUUAAGCGUGCUGAUCGUGAAACGCGGAAGUCUCCAUCUUUCCCAACAUAACAGACAUACAAGCGUCGAAUUGUGCCGAGCAGUUGAACUUAAAGGAUAAAAAGUUGUUUGCUGUUACACUUCGAACACUGCUUAACAUUUGUUAAGAAAUCAUAGAAGAUGUUGAUUAGUUAAGAAUACGAAUGCUUAAAUGAAAGGAAUAAAACAGUUUUAGAUGUUUUCGUUAUAAAAAAAAACCUAAGCAUUUUUUGAUGAAAAUCUAACAAAACGAGAUACAGCUGAAAUAUUAGAAAACUAUUAUCAGAGAGCAAAAAAAAAAACAAUACAUCAAUUUUACAAUCACAUGCUGAAGAGUGAAAAUAAUUUGUUACCAACUGAUAGCACAAAAGUAGAUAAUAGGAGAAUGGAGGAGACUUAUAGAAAAGGAGGUACAGCCGGCAUUGAAGGGAGCCUCUAUCAAAUAAAACUUUUAGCAUUGUUUUUAUAUAGAGGAAUAAAGGAAUCUUAUUUCUUCAAAUUAGCAAC